CCAGACUCCUACGGGAGGCAGCAGUGGGGACUCUUUCACAAUGGUUUCCCCCCUGAUGCCUCCCCGCCGCGUCCUUUCCGAAGGUGUUCGUCUGGUAAAGCUCUCUCAGCAGGGCCGCCGCAGGACGGUCCCUCCAGAGGAAGCCACGGCUAACUACGUGCCAGCAGCCGCGGCAAUACGUAGGUGGCAACAGUUGUGCGGAAUAACUGGGCGUAAAGGAUGCGUAGGCGGUUAAACAAGUUAUAUGUUAAAUGUAUAGGCUUAACCUGUAGAAAGCAUAUAAAACUGUUUAACUAGAGUGCAGGAGAGGUAGGUGGAAUUCCUAGUGUAGCGGUGAAAUGCGUAGAGAUUAGGAAGAACACCAGUGGCGAGGGCGACUUACUGGACUGUAACUGACGCUGAGGCAUGAGAGCAUGGGGAGCAAACAGGAUUAGAUACCCUAGUAC
RNAcentral lists this ribosomal RNA (446 nucleotides) under uncultured bacterium. Its description in RNAcentral is "bacterial SSU rRNA". It matches the Rfam family "Bacterial small subunit ribosomal RNA", at positions 331 to 793 of the family's 1533-position model. The record is from RNAcentral.